GCAAAUUCUUUCUUUAGCCCACUGAGCCAAACUGACCAACCCUACAUCUAUCACUUGCAAACCCCUUUUGAGCUUAAUAAUUCAUUUGAAUUCACUUAUAAUUUUGCCUAGAUUUGAGCCGUCCCGGUCAAAACUGAACUUAAGGGGCAAAAGAAAGGGAGAUAGUGUAGUGGAGCCUAUGGGCAGGACUAGUGAAAAAAUUGCAAAAUGGGACGUCUAAUCCCAAAAUAGAAAGAGUCCAUAAAAAGAAAAAGAAAUAAAAAAAAGGAGGAGAAAAAGAAAAAAAAAGAGGAAGAAUAAAGGGAAGAAUGUGCUUAAGCCCGCAAGAAUAGGCAAGGAUCAAAAGAAUCUGGGAAGUCUGUUGCCCAGAAUGAAGUUCAGAAUGACCUUAGCCUCGUACCAAAAAUUCUCACCUUAUGCCUUAAGCCACAUUACAACCCAUGAAAGACCUAAUGAGAUGCACCUAGGGCUUUGACUAAAGGGGAAGACAAUAGAAGAUAGGCAAGCUUAUGGUCAGAACCCAAUCGAGAUGUCCGGAGUGUAAACACGAGCCUAAACACUUGAGAGAAAGAGUGAAGGGGAGGAACAUCCUUAUGCCCAGAACCCGAUCUUGACU
RNAcentral lists this long non-coding RNA (616 nucleotides) under Salvia miltiorrhiza (redroot sage). Its description in RNAcentral is "long non-coding RNA (SMIL_LNC002757)". Lineage: Eukaryota; Viridiplantae; Streptophyta; Magnoliopsida; Lamiales; Lamiaceae. The record is from RNAcentral.